Molecule: long non-coding RNA, 1173 nt
Filed under: Nicotiana tabacum (common tobacco)
Lineage: Eukaryota; Viridiplantae; Streptophyta; Magnoliopsida; Solanales; Solanaceae
Description: long non-coding RNA (NTAB_LNC015237)
Rfam family: MIR159 microRNA precursor family (bases 279-470)
Source: RNAcentral
UCCACAUUUCCUUCCUAAUGUUCCUAUUGUUUCCUCUUUAUAUAUCAAGUAUUAUUUCACAUGUCAUGUUAUAAACCUUUGGCUAUUAUCAAAUGUUUUGGAUAGAGAUUCCUAAGGGCUAAUUUUGUGUUAUAGGGUUAAGUUUUAUGCUAAAUAUCUUAUUGGAGAUGGGCUUAAAUGGAUCAACAUGAGUAGUGAGGAUGCACGCAUGGUCAAUUCAACUGCUUGAAAUUGAGGCGUAAUUUUAACAUCGUUAUUGUAUCUUAAUAGUGAUGGUAUAGUUACGAAGAGAGCUUUCUUCAGUCCACACAUGGGAGGUGAUAAGGUUCAAUUUGCUGCCGACUCAUUCAUCCAAAUGCUGAGGUUAGAUAGUCAAAAGCAUCUCAGUGGCUGAAUGAAUGAAGCGGGAGUACAAGUUGUGUCUUAAGCUUCCUGUGCUUGGACUGAAGGGAGCUCCCUUUUACCUGUUUUCAUACUGACUAUAUAUCUCCCUACUUCAAUCUUAUUCAUUACUUUGUUAUGUUCAUGUUAAUAUGCAUAAUAACAGUCUUGAUUGUUUGCAAGCAUCUGACUAUUUCUGACCAGACAAAACAUAUAGUAUAUUACUAAUAUACUUUUGUCCUUUUUUUUCCUUUCCUUUUUAGUACUUAAACUAGCUAGUUAUCAUAUGAAUAAAGCUUGGAAUCUUAUGGUUUUUUUAUUUUUGGUUGUUGAUAUGGUUUUACUUGCUAGGGUUAAUUAAUACAAGGAAUUUUCUUGGGUGAUUAGGGUUAACACUAACGGCUUUGUCUUUUUUAUUUGCAGCUAAAGGUUUGUUAAGAUGAUUAUAUUUCUUUUAUUCUGGCCUCAUACUUAACCUAAAUUAUUUAACAUUUGAGUUGUUUAUAUGUGAAGCUUUUAGGGUUUUUCUGAAGCUCUACAAUGGAUUUCUCUUACUAUAUGCUGAGAUAUUUUUCAUGGAAUAAGAUGGAUGAAGCUCUACGACAACUAUUUUUCUUGGUUUUUGGUGUUACAAGUUCCUAGACAAUGUCUCCUCUUAGCUAGGCUGAAUUUACCAAACUAUCCUCCAAUCAUCUAUUGAAGAGUUGAAGAUGUAUUUCUUCUUAUUGCCCGACCUUUCUUUUCCUUUUUUCUUGUCCUUUUGUCUGAUACUUUCCUCUAUGUUCUUAUGUU